This 253-nucleotide ribosomal RNA is filed under the name uncultured bacterium. RNAcentral describes it as "partial 16S ribosomal RNA". It matches the Rfam family "Bacterial small subunit ribosomal RNA", at positions 524 to 776 of the family's 1533-position model. The record is from RNAcentral.
UACGAGGGGGGCUAGUGUUGUUCGGAAUCACUGGGCGUAAAGGGAGCGUAGGCGGGAGCUCAAGUUGGGUGUUUAAUUCCGGGGCCCAACCCCGGGCGUGCACUCAAAACUGGGUUUCUUGAAUAGGGGAGAGGUCGAUGGAAUUGGAGGUGUAGCGGUGAAAUGCGUAGAUAUGUGGAGGAACACCGAUGGCGAAGGCAGCCCCCUGGGUUAACACUGACGCUCAUGCACGAAAGCGUGGGGAGCAAACAGG